UACGUAGGGUGCGAGCGUUGUCCGGAAUUAUUGGGCGUAAAGAGCUUGUAGGCGGUCUGUCGCGUCUGCUGUGAAAAUCCGGGGCUCAACCCCGGACUUGCAGUGGGUACGGGCAGACUAGAGUGUGGUAGGGGAGACUGGAAUUCCUGGUGUAGCGGUGAAAUGCGCAGAUAUCAGGAGGAACACCGAUGGCGAAGGCAGGUCUCUGGGCCGAUACUGACGCUCAUGCACGAAAGCGUGGGGAGCGAACAGG
This 253-nucleotide ribosomal RNA is filed under the name uncultured bacterium. Its description in RNAcentral is "partial 16S ribosomal RNA". It matches the Rfam family "Bacterial small subunit ribosomal RNA", at positions 524 to 776 of the family's 1533-position model. The record is from RNAcentral.